Molecule: unclassified non-coding RNA, 1129 nt
Filed under: Hevea brasiliensis (rubber tree)
Lineage: Eukaryota; Viridiplantae; Streptophyta; Magnoliopsida; Malpighiales; Euphorbiaceae
Source: RNAcentral
GCCUUUGCCAGAACUACUUGAAGUUGCAGAGGCAUUACCUGCAGCAACAUUCAUGUUCCCGACAUUUAAUUUCAUUCUACUAAAGCUAGACAUACGCUCAAAGGCCCUGUUAACUACAAGAGCACUUUCAGCAGCUGAAGCAGGAGUUGUGGGUAUAGAAUCCACGAAAGCCCACAAAUUAGAGGAGAACCACGACUGCGCACCAUCAUCCUUUUUGGCUACAUUUUGAUUAGCGCCCAUAGGAUAAUUUGCCAUAUUAUUAUCAUUUACCACACCUGAAGAUGAUUGAUCAACAACUGAUUGAUCUCCUUCAAUGGGGUUGAAGACGCCGAAUCUUUCAUCAUGCAUCCAAAAUUGAUUGUUUAUCUGAUUUUCAUGAUUCAAGCGCAUCUGCUGGUUGUUCAUCAUGUCAUUUUGGAAAGCGCUCAUGUAUGUAGUUGAGUCAGGAUAUGUAAUUCCGUUCACAAAGUUGUUCAUGUAUGGUUCAGCAAUUUGCCCCACUACUGGUGUCCCCACAUUAUCAAGAAGUGAAGGUGCAUCAUGAUACAGGUCAAACUCUGAUAAGCCAUCAAAGUCAUCAAACUGCAGAGUCUCCAGGUUUCCAGCAGGUUUGUCAAAGACUUGACCAUUUGGGGUUCCGUGAUCAAAGUUUUGAACAUUUGGAUCGACAACAAGGAGGUCAUCCAUCUCCAAAAAAUCUUCCAAGAAAUCCUCUUCCACCACGUAUGGGGGCUUUUCAGGAUUCACCGGAGCAGAUGAGACUUCUGGUGCCUCAUGCAAAUGUAAUGGUGAUGUGCCUGACUCUGUCAGAUCAAAGCUCGCCCUCGCAUUAUACUGCUGGCAGCUUGGCCCAGCGACAGCACAAUGAUUGUAUAAAUUCACAUCCCUCGAAGACUGAUUUAGCAAGGUGCUUUCAGUAUCUUCCUCUUGAACAAACUGCUCCAAUGCAAAAUUGUUAUCUACAGUAAAAGGACGCUUCAGCAAUUCCUCAAUUGCAUCAUCAGGAUCAGGAACUACAUUAAUGUUCUUUGCAGUAUUCUCCUGAUCUCUCGGGCUCUCCGGCUGUACAGAGACUUUGGCAUUUAGGCGCUCAUCAUCAAGCCAGUCCUCUUCUCUAAAAGGUGCACCA